ACUAUAAAUAAGACAAGUAUUGUACAAAGACCGGAAUUCUGCCCCCAUGAGGUAGAAAAGAGAAAAGGCUACCACAGGUCACCCCACAGGGAAGCUGUAGCAAACAUAUAUCUUAAACAUACAAGAAUUCCACACGUAGAUCACUGUUACAUCCCUCAGAGAUUUUGUGAUGGCUAUUUCUUCUCAGGGGUGUCAAGAAAAACAAAUGACCAAGAAGAGGAUUUCCUCCCGUUUGAGCCAGCCUGGCCUACAGAGGGAGACACUGGGGUGGGGGCGGGGCAGACUAAGAAACCCUGUCUCACGAGUGUGGUGUCUAAUCUUCAUUGUCAACCGGAUUAGGUUUAGACUCACCAUGAAAAACCACCUUUCGGGUGUCUGUGAGGAUAUUUCUAGGAAGGUCUUACUACGGUGCAGAGACCCGCUGUGAACGUGGGUGGCAACAUUCCAUGGGCUGCGGCUGCUUCUGAGGGGAAAUGCAAAGCCAUUACCUCUCAGCUCCCUGAUUUCAGAGCCACUGUGACUGCCUGCCCCAUGCUUCUGCCACAAGUCUUUCCCACCAGGAUGGACAGUAUACUUCACACUGUGGCCCGAGUGAACUCUUCCUCUCUUCAGCUGCUCCUCGGCUAGUGACAGCAAUGAGAAAAAUAGCUAACCUAUAAAUUCAUCUCCAAUGUG
RNAcentral lists this long non-coding RNA (675 nucleotides) under Rattus norvegicus (Norway rat). RNAcentral's name for it is "long non-coding RNA NONRATT016284". Lineage: Eukaryota; Metazoa; Chordata; Mammalia; Rodentia; Muridae. The record is from RNAcentral.